RNAcentral lists this ribosomal RNA (368 nucleotides) under uncultured organism. RNAcentral's name for it is "bacterial SSU rRNA". It matches the Rfam family "Bacterial small subunit ribosomal RNA", at positions 526 to 896 of the family's 1533-position model. The record is from RNAcentral.
CGGAGGGUGCAAGCGUUAUCCGGAUUCACUGGGUUUAAAGGGUGCGUAGGUGGGUUGGUAAGUCAGUGGUGAAAUCUCCAGGCUCAACUUGGAAACUGCCAUUGAUACUAUUAAUCUUGAAUACCGUGGAGGUCAGCGGAGUAUGUCAUGUAGCGGUGAAAUGCUUAGAUAUGACAUAGAACACCAAUUGCGAAGGCAGCUGGCUACACGAAUAUUGACACUGAUGCACGAAAGCGUGGGGAUCAAACAGGAUUAGAUACCCUGGUAGUCCACGCCCUAAACGAUGGAUACUCGACAUACGCGAUAUACAGUGUGUGUCUGAGCGAAAGCAUUAAGUAUCCCACCUGGGAAGUACGAUCGCAAGAUUG